Molecule: ribosomal RNA, 253 nt
Filed under: uncultured bacterium
Lineage: Bacteria
Description: partial 16S ribosomal RNA
Rfam family: Bacterial small subunit ribosomal RNA
Source: RNAcentral
UACGAAGGGGGCUAGCGUUGUUCGGAAUUACUGGGCGUAAAGGGCGCGUAGGCGGUACUUCAAGUCAGGCGUGAAAGCCCCGGGCUCAACCUGGGAACCGCGCUUGAGACUGGAGAACUAGAGUUCGGGAGAGGAUGGUGGAAUUCCCAGUGUAGAGGUGAAAUUCGUAGAUAUCUGGAGGAACACCGGUGGCGAAGGCGGCAUCCUGGACCGGUAUUGACGCUGAGGCGCGAAAGCCAGGGGAGCAAACGGG